Molecule: ribosomal RNA, 482 nt
Filed under: uncultured bacterium
Lineage: Bacteria
Description: partial 16S ribosomal RNA
Rfam family: Bacterial small subunit ribosomal RNA
Source: RNAcentral
AGUGAACGUUGGCGGCGUGGAUUAGGCAUGCAAGUCGAGCGAGAACCGUAGCAAUACGGGGACAGCGGCGAAAGGGACAGUAAUGUGUAGGUACCUACCCCGAGGUCUGGGAUAGCUGCGGGAAACUGCAGGUAAUACCGAAUAACGUCUCCGGACCAAAGGUGUGAUUCCACCUGGAGAGGGGCCUGCAUCCUAUUAGCUUGUUGGCGGGGUAACGGCCCACCAAGGCGACGAUGGGUAGCGGGUGUGAGAGCACGACCCGCGUCAUUGGGAUUGAGACACUGCCCAGACACCUACGGGUGGCUGCAGUCGAGGAUCUUCGGCAAUGGGCGCAAGCCUGACCGAGCGACGCCGCGUGCGGGAUGAAGGCCUUCGGGUUGUAAACCGCUGUCGUAGAGGAGGAAGUGCAGGGGGGUUCUCCCCUCUGUUUGACCUAUUCUAGGAGGAAGGACGGGCUAAGUUCGUGCCAGCCGCCGCGGUAA